Bacillus rossius redtenbacheri is the source of this 377-nucleotide long non-coding RNA. RefSeq lists it as uncharacterized. The record is from RefSeq and is a predicted model, not a curated record. Lineage: Eukaryota; Metazoa; Arthropoda; Insecta; Phasmatodea; Bacillidae. The transcript is spliced from 2 exons.
UGUAUACAAGAUCAUGCCUUCUGGAUCAAGGGAUGAAUUUGAAUAUGUUAUACGGAACUUUUACCAAUUUCACUUUCGGGACAAGUAUGUAAGGAAAUUAGAAAAUGAGCUGAAACAUUAAACUCUUUGGACACUCCGUAGAAAGGAAGAAUUAUUUUCUGUUUAAUGCUGGCAUGUGAAGACAUUAGAACAUUUUUUCUUGUAGAUUAAAUUCUUUGGACAUUCAAUGAAAAUGAAUUAUUUUGUGAAUUUUUGUUAUAAUAGUGCUUUUUUUAUUUCACUUAGAAUUUUAUUUCAUUGCCGGUUAAUUGUUAGUAACUAAGAAAGUGAAAUAAAUUUUUUUUUUGGAGAAAUAAAGAGUAUUUUUUACAACCUUA